GGUCAAGCUACGAAGGGCGCACGGUGGAUGCCUUGGCGUCACGGGCCGAUGAAGGACGUGGCAAGACUGCGAUAAGCCUCGGUAUGCUGUCUAGCAAGCUAAACCGAGGAUCUCCGAAUGGGGCAACCCGGCUCGCUUUAUAGCGGGUCACGACCAGCUGAACACAUAGGCUGGAUCGAGGGAACCGGGGGAACUGAAACAUCUAAGUACCCUGAGGAAAAGAAACAAUUCUCUUAGUAGCGGCGAGCGAACGGGGAAUAGCCCAAACCGUCAUCCUUGUGAUGGCGGGGUUGUAGGACCGGCGCACAGGAGCGCCAGUUUGGAUAGCCGAAGGACCUGGAACGGUCCGCCGUAGAGGGUGAGAGUCCCGUAGGCGAAAUUUAGACGGCUCCUGCCGGUAUCCUGAGUACCACGGGACACGAGAAAUCCCGUGGGAAGCUGGGGAGACCACUUUCCAAGGCUAAAUACCUGUGACGACCGAUAGUGAACUAGUACCGUGAGGGAAAGGUGAAAAGCACCCCGGGAGGGGAGUGAAAUAGUACCUGAAACCGUGUGCCUACAAGCAGUCGGAGCCUGGUUUCGGCCGGGUGACGGCGUGCCUAUUGAAGAAUGAGCCAACGAGUUACGUUCCGUGGCAAGGUUAAGCGAUGUGAGUCGCGGAGCCGGAGCGAAAGCGAGUCUGAAUAGGGCGCCACAGUCGCGGGAUGUAGACCCGAAACCUAGUGAGCUACCCAUGGGCAGCGUGAAGCGAGGGUAAGACCUCGUGGAGGCGCGAACCUUCCUACGUUGCAAAGUGGUUGGAUGAUCUGUGGGUAGAGGUGAAAUGCUAAUCGAACUAGGAGAUAGCUGGUUCUCCCCGAAAUGCGUUUAGGCGCAGCCUCGUAUGAUGUGCACUGGAGGUAGGGCUCUGGUUGGGUCCGGGGGCUUACCGCUUACCAAUCCCAUCCAAACUGCGAAUGCCAGUGCAUGAGAAUACGGGAGUGAGACAGCGGGGGCUAAGCUUCGUUGUCGAAAGGGAAACAGCCCAGACCCUCGGCUAAGGCCCCUAAAUCCAUGCUUAGUGUGAAAGGAAGUCCGGUCGCAAAGACAGCCAGGAUGUUGGCCCAGAAGCAGCCAUCAUUGAAAGAGUGCGUAACAGCUCACUGGUCGAGUGAUCGGGCGCCGACAAUGUAACGGGGCUCAAGCAUGGUGCCGAAGCCAGGGGAUCGUCCUUAGGGGCGGUCGGUAGGGGAGCGUUCCACGCAGCAGUGAAGCCGGCAGGGUGACCUCCGGUGGAGCGUGUGGAAGUGAGAAUGUUGGCAUGAGUAGCGUAAUUCCGGUGAGAAACCGGGACACCGUAAGCCCAAGGGUUCCUACGCAAGGUUUAUCCACGUAGGGUUAGGCGGGCCUAAGCCGAGGACGAGAGUCGUAGGCGAUGGACAGCAGGUUAGUAUUCCUGCCCCACCGAAGUUGUGCCUGAGGCAGGAGGGGUGACCCGGAAGGAUAGGUCGAGCGGGCCGAUUGGACAUGGUCCGUUCUGCAGUCGUAGGCGUCUGGGGGCAGGCAAAUCCACCCCCAGGUUAAGCGGAGGGCUGUAGAGAAGCGGAGACGUCAGUCAAUGCGACUCGAUUGAGUCCAUGCCGGCGAGAAAAACCUCGCUGCCGAACAACCUCGGUGCCCGUACCGCAAACCGACACUGGUGGGCGGCGGUAAGUACCGUCAGGUGAUCGAGAGAACCUUCGUUAAGGAACUCGGCAAUCUAGCUCCGUAACUUCGGGAGAAGGAGCGCCCCGGUUAGUGAAGGACCUUGCGUCCUGAGCUGGCUAGGGUCGCAGAGAGCAGGCCCAGGCGACUGUUUAACAAAAACACAGGUCUCUGCUAACGCGUAAGCGGAUGUAUAGGGGCUGACGCCUGCCCAGUGCCGGAAGGUUAAGGAGCGCGGUGCAAGCCGCAAACUGAAGCCCCGGUGAACGGCGGCCGUAACUAUAACGGUCCUAAGGUAGCGAAAUUCCUUGUCGGGUAAGUUCCGACCCGCACGAAUGGCGUAACGAUCUGGGCGCUGUCUCAACGAAGGACUCGGCGAAAUUGAACUGGCCGUGAAGAUGCGGCCUACCCGCAGCCGGACAAAAAGACCCCGUGGAGCUUUACUGCAGCUUGGCGCUGGAGGCCGGGCUUAGAUGCGUAGAAUAGGUGGGAGGCGAUGAACCGUUCCUUUUGGGGGGCGGGGAGCCAAUAGUGAAAUACCACUCUUCUAUGUUUGUCCUCCUAACCUGUGAGCAAGCAUGGGAACAGCGCCUGGUGGGCAGUUUGACUGGGGCGGUCGCCUCCUAAAAGGUAACGGAGGCGCGCAAUGGUCCCCUCAGGGUGGAUGGCAAUCACCCGACGAGUGUAUUGGUAUAAGGGGGCUUGACUGCGAGACGGACAUGUCGAGCAGGGACGAAAGUCGGUCAAAGUGAUCCUACGGUCCCGAGUGGAAGGGCCGUGGCUUAUCGGAUACAAGCUACCCCGGGGAUAACAGGCUGAUCCUGCCCAAGAGUUCAUAUCGACGGCAGGGUUUGGCACCUCGAUGUCGGCUCGUCGCAUCCUGGGGCUGAAUCAGGUCCCAAGGGUUGGGCUGUUCGCCCAUUAAAGCGGUACGCGAGCUGGGUUCAGAACGUCGUGAGACAGUUCGGUCUCUAUCCGCUGUGGGCGUAGGAGGCUUGAGGAAUGCUGCCCCUAGUACGAGAGGACCGGGGUGGACGGACCUCUGGUGUGCCGGUUGUCCCGCCAGGGGCAUCGCCGGGUAGCCAAGUCCGGAAUGGAUAAGCGCUGAAAGCAUCUAAGCGCGAAGCCAAUUCCAAGAUGAGGCCUCCCACCGGGUUAACCGGGUAAGACCGCGGGAAGACCACCCGCUUGAUAGGCUACAGGUGGAAGCACAGCAAUGUGUGGAGCUGAGUAGUACUAAUGGUCGAGGGCUUGACCCU
This 2942-nucleotide ribosomal RNA is filed under the name uncultured Chloroflexi bacterium HF0200_09I09. RNAcentral describes it as "Bacterial large subunit ribosomal RNA". It matches the Rfam family "Bacterial large subunit ribosomal RNA". Lineage: Bacteria; Bacillati; Chloroflexota. The record is from Rfam by way of RNAcentral.